RNAcentral lists this long non-coding RNA (2462 nucleotides) under Homo sapiens (human). Its description in RNAcentral is "HSALNT0404697". The record is from RNAcentral. Lineage: Eukaryota; Metazoa; Chordata; Mammalia; Primates; Hominidae.
GCCGGCCCCACGAUGGAGAGCACGUAGUGCCCCCCGGGAGUCAGGAGGCCGGGCCUGACCUCGGGGGCUGCAGCCAGGGGAGGCCGGCACCCCAGAUAACCCCCAAAGAACUGCAGGCCCUGAGGCGAGGCCAGAGUGGGGGCGGGGGCAGGUCCCAGCCGAGGAGGUGCUCCGUGCUGCCUCAGCAGAACCCAUGAUGGGCUGGCCCAAGGCUCUGAAGGUGGAAAGGCCUCACACAUUCUGCCCCGGCUGACGCCUUCCUUGGGCCAGUGCUCGGGGGUGUGUAACAAACGCCAAGACGCAUUGUAAAGAAGGAAGCCUGCGUUUCCAUCACCGGCUUAAUAUCAAACAAAAGUGCAAUUUUGAAAAUGUAGUCCAAGGUUUUCUGUGGUGCGGAAAUGGCCAGGCCAGACCUCCGUGGGUGGUCCUUCGUGUCCACGUCAGCGCCCUACAUCCACACUGUGGGCACCAUGACCUCACAUGCGGAGCGGAGCAGGGCCGGCGCCCGGAGAGCCAGGCUGGUCACGAACGAGGCCUAGAGGGCGUCAGGCCCCAAAGCACUCACAGGCUUCUCCUCUGUCCUCGGGGCCUUCAGACACCUGCAUGCGCCGAUUCAGCCACCCGCGCGCGCCGAUUCCCCUGGCCAUGGGGUUUCCAAAGUGUGUGCUCAGAGGACAGUUUCCUCCAGGAUGACCUGUCAGUGGCUCUCUGUGCCGGGGACGUCGCGUGCUGGGUCCCGGUCUGAAUGCUUCCUAACGAUUUACCCAGUUCCUUUUCUCCACUCAGGAGGCGUUUGCUGAGAGGCACAGGCUGAGCCCCCGUGCUGAUGCCACGACCGAGGGAACGGGUCUCCCUGUCGGCGUGAACUGACCCGGCCAGGCGUCCACUGCCACUCGGACUGUCUCCCAGGCACGUGGCGCCCACACGGGCAGAACACGCCCUCCACACACGCGGCUUCGGGCAGAACACGAGGCGCCCUCCACACACGCGGCUUCGGGGCUUGUCAUGAAAAAAGCUGAAUGCUGGGGGUGCAGCUUUCACCAACAGAAUCCCGUUUGGAAGGGACGCGGUGAGACAUGAUCCACCCUAAGUUGUGAUCCUGGCCUGCAGGCCUGCAGAAGCUGCAUCUCGGGAUGGCCAAGAGCCCGGCCAGGCCCCACGGCUGCACCCAGGACGGGAUUCAUGCCCCAUGCCUGGCUUCUCACGACCACAGAGUGCCUUUCCCGGGACUGGAUGGAGGCAGAGUGAGAGAAGAGCCUGGAGCAAGUGUUUUGGACCACAGUGAUCAAACACGGAGCCCGUGGGAGGACGUGGGAGGACGUGCGGGGCUUUGCCGGGCGAGCCCGAUGCUGCUCACGGCACCUGGAGUGUUCGGGCCGCUAUUUGGGCGGUGUUCUGAGCAGCCGUCAGACCUUGAGUUUUGCUGUCAAAAGCUCUUCUCUCCUGCCCCGAAAUAUACCCAGUCCAUGCCCCAAGAGGAAAGGCCUUUGUGCCAGGUGGGCACCCGGCUGCCUCUUGGCAAAGACUUGUUGGAAAAAUGAGUGAGUGACGAGGCUGCUGGUCAGCGUGUGGCCUGUGGCGUCACUGGGGCCUCUGGCGGCUGCUGGAACCAGAAGAGGAGCCUGCGCUGCAACCCAGGCCGCACCACAUCAGGGUCUCACUGGGAGCCGGAGAGCUUGUUCCCAGGCAACCCUGAAACAGAGAAGUGUCCUUGGAGGCUUCACCCACGCAGACCCACGGCUUCCUGGUAGAAGCCGUCUGCACCCCCGCACUGACCUGGCUCUGUGAGGAGAGCGGGGAGGGGCUCCAGGGAAACAUCCUGGCGUUGGCGUAGCCAGCCUGUGAGUCACGGGGAAGCCGGCUGCCCGGAUGCCCCCCAAGGACCCGGUGAGUCCACACACAGUACAGCAGGGCCUGGGCCCGCACCACCGCCUUUUCCUGCAGGCCCCUCAUGUCCACUGACUGCACCUCCAGGGACUCUGCCCGGCAACCCAGGCGCCCCCGACACACCCCACCACACAGCUCCUUCUGCCUCACCCACACCCCGCCAGACCCUGAGCGCUCACGAAGUCUCCUUGUCAAGAACUUUGAGAGCCAGUUGCUAAACACAGAUGUUAUUUAUUUAUUUGAGACAGAGUCUUGCUCUGUCACCCAGGCUGGAGUGCAGUGGCACGAUCUCAGCUCACUGCAGCCUUGGCCUCCCGGGUUCCAGCGAUUCUCCUGCCUCAGCCUCCUGGGUAGCUGGGAUUGCAGGUGGCCACCACGCCCAGCUAGUUUUUGUAUUUUUAGUAGAGACGGGGUUUCGCCAAGUUGGCCAGGCUGGUCUCAAACUCCUGACCUCAGGUGAUCUGUCAGCCUCAGCCUCCCAAAGUGCUGGGAUUACAGGCGUGAGCCACCGCACCCGGGCUACAGAUGUUAUUUUUAAAAUUACAUAAACUUACAAUUAAAUACAUUAAGUUAAA